GCUUACGGCCACACGGCCUGAGUACGCUGAUCUCGUCCGAUCUCGGAAGCUAAGCAGGGUCGGGCCUGGUUAGUACUUGGAUGGGAGACCGCCUGGGAAUACCAGGUGCUGUAAGCU
RNAcentral lists this ribosomal RNA (117 nucleotides) under Oncorhynchus mykiss (rainbow trout). The record is from RNAcentral. Lineage: Eukaryota; Metazoa; Chordata; Actinopteri; Salmoniformes; Salmonidae.